AUCGCUUCUCGGCCUUUUGAGCUAAGAUCAAAUGUAGUAUCUUUUCUUAUCAGUUUAAUAUCUGAUAUGUCCUCUAUAUGAGACUUACAUAUUAAGCAGAUUUUGGCAUGAGGGCAGAAAUUUGACUUGGAGCUCCCUUUCUCUCCACGCAUCGACCUAGCAUUGCAGUGCCGCUGGGAACGGUGCUGUUGUU
Molecule: small nuclear RNA, 193 nt
Organism: Hippoglossus stenolepis (Pacific halibut)
Lineage: Eukaryota; Metazoa; Chordata; Actinopteri; Pleuronectiformes; Pleuronectidae
Product: U2 spliceosomal RNA
Exons: 1
Source: RefSeq, a predicted model, not a curated record